CAGUAGCCACGGUAAUACGGAGGGUGCAAGCGUUACUCGGGAUCACUGGGCGUAAAGGACGCGUAGGCGGAUUAUCAAGUCUCUUGUGAAAUCUAACGGCUUAACCGUUAAACUGCUUGGGAAACUGAUAAUCUAGAGUAAGGGAGAGGCAGAUGGAAUUCUUGGUGUAGGGGUAGAAUCCGUAGAGAUCAAGAAGAAUACCCAUUGCGAAAGCGAUCUGCCGGAACUUAACUGACGCUAAUGCGUGAAAGCGUGGGGAGCAAACAGGAUUAGAUACCCCCGUAGUCCCUGUCUCUUAUAC
RNAcentral lists this ribosomal RNA (301 nucleotides) under uncultured bacterium. RNAcentral describes it as "partial 16S ribosomal RNA". It matches the Rfam family "Bacterial small subunit ribosomal RNA", at positions 509 to 807 of the family's 1533-position model. The record is from RNAcentral.